RNAcentral lists this ribosomal RNA (549 nucleotides) under uncultured Glomeromycotina. Its description in RNAcentral is "SSU rRNA". It matches the Rfam family "Eukaryotic small subunit ribosomal RNA", at positions 548 to 1098 of the family's 1831-position model. The record is from RNAcentral. Lineage: Eukaryota; Fungi; Glomeromycota.
UUGGAGGGCAAGUCUGGUGCCAGCAGCCGCGGUAAUUCCAGCUCCAAUAGCGUAUAUUAAAGUUGUUGCAGUUAAAAAGCUCGUAGUUGAAUUUCGGGGUUAGUAGGUUGGUCAUGCCUCUGGUAUGUACUGGUCUCACUGAUUCCUCCUUCCUGAUGAGCCGUAAUGCCAUUAAUUUGGUGUUGCGGGGAAUUUGGACUGUUACUUUGAAAAAAUUAGAGUGUUUAAAGCAAGCUAACGCUUGAAUACAUUAGCAUGGAAUAAUGAAAUAGGACGUUCGAUCCUAUUUUGUUGGUUUCUAGGAUUGACGUAAUGAUUAAUAGGGAUAGUUGGGGGCAUUAGUAUUCAAUUGUCAGAGGUGAAAUUCUUGGAUUUAUUGAAGACUAACUACUGCGAAAGCAUUUGCCAAGGAUGUUUUCAUUAAUCAAGAACGAAAGUUAGGGGAUCGAAGACAAUCAGAUACCGUCGUAGUCUUAACCAUAAACUAUGCCGACUAGGGAUCGGAUGAUGUUAAUUUUUUAAUGACUCAUUCGGCGCCUUACGGGAAAC